UGGUCAAGGCUGGGGUGCCGGAGCGGACCGAUGUCCGCUCCGGCUGAGAUCAUACCCAUAGAACCUGAUCUGGAUCGUGCCAGCGAAGGGAGCCCGCGUGAUCCUCCA
Molecule: non-coding RNA, 108 nt
Filed under: Skermanella aerolata
Lineage: Bacteria; Pseudomonadati; Pseudomonadota; Alphaproteobacteria; Rhodospirillales; Azospirillaceae
Description: TPP sequence
Rfam family: TPP riboswitch aptamer (THI element)
About the family: Vitamin B(1) in its active form thiamin pyrophosphate (TPP) is an essential coenzyme that is synthesised by coupling of pyrimidine and thiazole moieties in bacteria. The previously detected thiamin-regulatory element, thi box was extended, resulting in a new, highly conserved RNA secondary structure, the THI element, which is widely distributed in eubacteria and also occurs in some archaea.
Source: Rfam by way of RNAcentral